Cololabis saira (Pacific saury) is the source of this 134-nucleotide small nucleolar RNA. RefSeq annotates it as small nucleolar RNA SNORA5. Lineage: Eukaryota; Metazoa; Chordata; Actinopteri; Beloniformes; Belonidae. The transcript has a single exon. The record is from RefSeq and is a predicted model, not a curated record.
UGCAGCUUUGUCAAAUUCAGUGCUUCCUCUGUGGUAGUUUGCACUGGCCAAAAUGGCUGCAACAGAAACUGUAGUUCAUGGGCCCCACUUCCGUCACCAUGGUUACUGGGGAUAAAUAUGUACUACACACAAGC